AACCAGAGCGCCGGGAACAGAACCCCUCACCACCGCCCGCCGCCCCAGCACACUCCACUCAGCGUCUCCAGGACAGGCCCAGCCUCCCUCUGCAUCACGAGGCGGCCACCUCCUCCUGGCUUCCCAGGAACCCGCCCCUGCCCAGCACGCCCUCUCCUUCAGUUCCCACGCGCUCUCCUUCUCCCACCGCUUCCCUCGUCUGUAAGUCGGUCCCUUUGACCCCAUCUUGUAAAACAAGGCCACACCCAGAGGUGGUGAUGGAUCAGCGGUCGGCAGGAGUCGGGGCUCGUGGGAACCGGUGGGCCAAGUCCAGGUCCUGCUGUGGUGGGCACGAGCCCCGGAGCCCUGGCUUAGUAGCCACGGGUUGGUGUGGCCUACAGUGGUGACAGACACACUGACGCGAUGCUGAGGAGGACGUGGACUGGGGGGGGGUGAGAAGCUUCAUUUUCUGCACAUUUUUUCCAUAACCUAAAAAUAUUCUAAAAAGAUCAUCUACUAAAAAAAGCAAGACCUUUCCUGGGUGAAUUCCAUACAGACAGCACGGUAAGCCCGGUGUUCCGCCCACUCCCAGCGUCCAGUGGAGACGCGUGCGAGAUGGGCAGCCAGCACCACAUGGAAACCAGCGCUGCACCGGAAGCCCCUCUGGCAAAGCUGCGGCGUGACUGGGGUGCACAGGAGGGAAGAGGCUAGUUUGCAGCCAGCUCUUCUCUGCAGAGUGGUGUGGUCUGCAUCCGAGGGAAGGUACCCCGGAGACCCUGCCGCUGAGGACAGGCAAGGCCAUGACCAGAGGGCUGCCCACAGGAACUGAGAUAGCAAAUGUGUAUUGUUUUGAGCCAGUAAGCUGGUGGUGAUUUGUCACACUGCAACAGUUAGCUAUUGCUACAAAUAAUGAAAAGAAAUUUGUAACUAAAAUGCACUUCUGCCCAACACGGUGAUACAUGCCUAUAAUCUUAGCAACUCAGGAGGCUGAGGCAGGAGGAUCACGAGUUAGAGGCCAGCCUCAGUAAUUUAGUGAGUCCUUCAGCUUAGUGAGACCCUGUCUCAAAAUUAAAAAAUAAAUAAAUAAAUAAAACAACUGAGAUGUAGGUUGUUCAGAGGUAUGGUCCCCUGGGUUCAUCCCCUGUGCCAAUUAAUUUAUCAAUUGAUUAAUUAAUUUGAUUAAAAUAACACACUUGCACCCAUGAUCCCUCCUUCCUUGCAGACCACCCCCCCCAAGGGAGUUCUCCACAGACUCAUCUAAGGAGCUUCCUGGAGGCCGUGGCCCAUCACGAAACGGCCCCAGAGGGUCAGAGCCUGCUCCGAGCUCCUCCCUGUCAGAGUCACAGGAAGCGCUGAGGCACAAGAGCACCCUGGCUGUCCUUCCUACCAACUUUUUGAGGUGACCGUCUCCCAGAGCCCUGAGGCCAGUGGAUGGCCCCAAGGCUGAGGACCUCAGAGACCUGGGGAUCCAGCACCCAGCCAGCUCCUCCAGGUGGACAGAGCACCCCGGCCGCGGACUAGAGCGGGUCACCAGGAACGGCCCAGAGAGGACCUAGCGGCCUCAGGAGCCAGGAGGUCUCCGCACAGGACCUGGGCUGGGCCACCCGGAGCCAGAGGGAGGGGCUGCAGCAGCCAUGUGUCCCUCUCCACGGUCCUCUCACUCCCCUGCCCCCGGGGACAGAGUGGUCACUCCUCCGAGCUGUGCACUGCUGAAGAGGGUGCAGGUGGAGCCCUCUGGAUGGGAGGGGGCGUGGGGACGAGAACACAGGAAGGAAGGCGGCCACUCAGCUCAGCAGAUGGACGCGGGUCUGUGUGCCCGCCGGGAUGGUGGGGGCGACAGGGACGGGAAACUUGAGCUCGUUUUUAAAAGAUCUUAGGGUGGAAAUAAAUGAUCUUUUAAUUAAAUUUCUACUAAAUUUUAACUUGAA
Ictidomys tridecemlineatus (thirteen-lined ground squirrel) is the source of this 1907-nucleotide non-coding RNA. The record is from RefSeq and is a predicted model, not a curated record. NCBI's taxonomy places the organism in Eukaryota, Metazoa, Chordata, Mammalia, Rodentia, Sciuridae.